RNAcentral lists this ribosomal RNA (843 nucleotides) under Gaeumannomyces hyphopodioides. RNAcentral's name for it is "eukaryotic LSU rRNA". It matches the Rfam family "Eukaryotic large subunit ribosomal RNA", at positions 40 to 913 of the family's 3401-position model. Lineage: Eukaryota; Fungi; Ascomycota; Sordariomycetes; Magnaporthales; Magnaporthaceae. The record is from RNAcentral.
AUAUCAAUAAGCGGAGGAAAAGAAACCAACAGGGAUUGCCCUAGUAACGGCGAGUGAAGCGGCAACAGCUCAAAUUUGAAAUCUGGCCCCAGGCCCGAGUUGUAAUUUGCAGAGGAUGCUUUUGGCAAAGCGCAUACCGAGUCCCCUGGAACGGGGCGCCACAGAGGGUGAGAGCCCCGUAUGGUACGACGCCGAGCCUCUGUAAAGCUCCUUCGACGAGUCGAGUAGUUUGGGAAUGCUGCUCUAAAUGGGAGGUAAAUUUCUUCUAAAGCUAAAUACCGGCCAGAGACCGAUAGCGCACAAGUAGAGUGAUCGAAAGAUGAAAAGCACUUUGAAAAGAGGGUUAAAUAGCACGUGAAAUUGUUGAAAGGGAAGCGCUCGUGACCAGACUUGCGCCGGGCGGAUCAUCCAGCGUUCUCGCUGGUGCACUCCGCCCGGCUCAGGCCAGCAUCGGUUUUCGCCGGGGGACAAAAGCUUCGGGAACGUGGCUCCCUUCGGGGAGUGUUAUAGCCCGUCGUUUAAUACCCCGGCGGGGACCGAGGACCGCGCUUCGGCAAGGAUGCUGGCGUAAUGGUCAUCAGCGACCCGUCUUGAAACACGGACCGAGGAGUCAAGCAUUAGUGCGAGUGUUUGGGUGUAAAACCCGCACGCGUAAUGAAAGUGAACGUAGGUGAGAGCUUCGGCGCAUCAUCGACCGAUCCUGAUGUUUUCGGAUGGAUUUGAGUAGGAGCAUUAACGCUUGGACCCGAAAGAUGGUGAACUAUACUUGAAUAGGGUGAAGCCAGAGGAAACUCUGGUGGAGGCUCGCAGCGGUUCUGACGUGCAAAUCGAUCGUCAAAUUUG